Suricata suricatta (meerkat) is the source of this 310-nucleotide long non-coding RNA. RefSeq lists it as uncharacterized. The transcript is spliced from 3 exons. NCBI's taxonomy places the organism in Eukaryota, Metazoa, Chordata, Mammalia, Carnivora, Herpestidae. The record is from RefSeq and is a predicted model, not a curated record.
ACUGUGUCGUGAAAUAUUAAUCAGAGCCGUCUGCCUCUGGGGGCCAAAACUAAGAGGCGGCAGCAUCAAUGUAGCAAGAGCUGCCCAGCGACAUGUCUUUGAGAAGCUGAUUAUUGCGGGUGUGGCCCCGGGAGAGUGUGGGAGGUGCUGGCAGGCUGUGGCUGCGUGCACAGGGAGCCUCUUGGGCCCCAGUCAGGGCUGCUUCAGCUCCUCUCCAAAUGCUGAUUCAGUGGAGAAGCUGUUAUUCGUUGACUGCUUUAUAAGCUCGGGGUGCUCACAUCGUUGCAUUAAGGGACCACCAUGCCUGCAG